UUCCGGUUGAUCCUGCCGGACCUGACUGCUAUCGGAUUGAUACUAAGCCAUGCGAGUCAUUGUAGCAAUACAAGGCAUACGGCUCAGUAACGCGUAGUCAACCUAACCUAUGGACGGGAAUAACCUCGGGAAACUGAGAAUAAUGCCCGAUAGAACAUUAUACCUGGAAUGGUUUAUGUUCCAAAUGAUUUAUCGCCAUAGGAUGGGACUGCGGCCUAUCAGUUUGUUGGUGAGGUAAUGGCCCACCAAGACUAUUACAGGUACGGGCUCUGAGAGGAGUAGCCCGGAGAUGGGUACUGAGACACGGACCCAGGCCCUAUGGGGCGCAGCAGGCGAGAAAACUUUGCAAUGUGCGAAAGCACGACAAGGUUAAUCCGAGUGAUUUCUGCUAAAGAGAUCUUUUGUUAGUCCUAGAAACACUAACGAAUAAGGGGUGGGCAAGUUCUGGUGUCAGCCGCCGCGGUAAAACCAGCACCUCAAGUGGUCAGGAUGAUUAUUGGGCCUAAAGCAUCCGUAGCCGGCUCUGUAAGUUUUCGGUUAAAUCUGUACGCUCAACGUACAGGCUGCCGGGAAUACUGCAGAACUAGGGAGUGGGAGAGGUAGACGGUACUCGGUAGGAAGUGGUAAAAUGCUUUGAUCUAUCGAUGACCACCUGUGGCGAAGGCGGUCUACCAGAACACGUCCGACGGUGAGGGAUGAAAGCUGGGGGAGCAAACCGGAUUAGAUACCCGGGUAGUCCCAGCUGUAAACUAUGCAAACUCAGUGAUGCAUUGGCUUGUGGCCAAUGCAGUGCUGCAGGGAAGCCGUUAAGUUUGCCGCCUGGGAAGUACGUACGCAAGUAUGAAACUUAAAGGAAUUGGCGGGGGAGCACCACAAGGGGUGAAGCCUGCGGUUCAAUUGGAGUCAACGCCGGG
RNAcentral lists this ribosomal RNA (914 nucleotides) under uncultured marine archaeon. RNAcentral's name for it is "bacterial SSU rRNA". It matches the Rfam family "Archaeal small subunit ribosomal RNA", at positions 1 to 922 of the family's 1478-position model. The record is from RNAcentral.